This is a non-coding RNA of Candidatus Stoquefichus sp. KLE1796, 319 nucleotides long. The record is from Rfam. Lineage: Bacteria; Bacillati; Bacillota; Erysipelotrichia; Erysipelotrichales; Erysipelotrichaceae.
CGAGAACCGAUUGCUACGAAAGUAGAGGAAAGUCCGGGCAUCCACAAUCUGCGAUGAUUGUAGUGUUUGUACUGCGUCUAAUAAAUGCAGGUAGCAUUUUGCUAACGACAGACCUAAGACCUAAACCGUAAAGGCAUGGUUGAUAAGUCAUAAAGUGCCACAGAAACUAUGUUGUCUUGAAAAAGACAAAUGAAAAGCGGUAAACUCUGCAAGGAUGAAACCCAAAUUUUGGUAGGGGAACUUCAUUAAAGGAAAUGAACGAUAAUGGAGAUGCAUAGCAUAGAUAAAUAAUCGGUUGAAAAACAGAACUCGGCUUAUC